Molecule: ribosomal RNA, 474 nt
Filed under: uncultured bacterium
Lineage: Bacteria
Description: bacterial SSU rRNA
Rfam family: Bacterial small subunit ribosomal RNA
Source: RNAcentral
ACUCCUACGGGAGGCAGCAGUGGGGAAUAUUGGGACAAUGGGGGAACCCGUGAUCCAGCCAUGCCGCGUGUGUGAAGAAGGCCUUAUGGUUGUAAAGCACUUUAAGCGAGGAGGAGGCUACUAGUAUUAAUACUACUGGAUAGUGGACGUUACUCGCAGAAUAAGCACCGGCUAACUCUGUGCCAGCAGCCGCGGUAAUACAGAGGGUGCGAGCGUUAAUCGGAUUUACUGGGCGUAAAGCGUGCGUAGGCGGCCAUUUAAGUCAAAUGUGAAAUCCCCGNGCUUAACUUGGGAAUUGCAUUCGAUACUGGAUGGCUAGAGUAUGGGAGAGGAUGGUAGAAUUCCAGGUGUAGCGGUGAAAUGCGUAGAGAUCUGGAGGAAUACCGAUGGCGAAGGCAGCCAUCUGGCCUAAUACUGACGCUGAGGUACGAAAGCAUGGGGAGCAAACAGGAUUAGAUACCCUGGUAGACAUCA